RNAcentral lists this ribosomal RNA (544 nucleotides) under uncultured bacterium. RNAcentral describes it as "bacterial SSU rRNA". It matches the Rfam family "Bacterial small subunit ribosomal RNA", at positions 382 to 916 of the family's 1533-position model. The record is from RNAcentral.
CCUGACGCAGCGACGCCGCGUGAGUNAUGAAGGCUUUCGGGUCGUAAAGCUCUGUCAAGUGGGAAGAACCUGCAGUAUGCCAAUAUCAUAUUGCACUGACGGUACCACUGAAGGAAGCACCGGCUAACUCCGUGCCAGCAGCCGCGGUAAUACGGGGGGUGCAAGCGUUAUUCGGAAUCAUUGGGCGUAAAGAGCACGUAGGCGGCCUGGUAAGUCAGAUBUGAAAGCCCGGGGCUUAACCCCGGAAGUGCAUUUGAUACUGUCAGGCUUGAGUAUGGGAGAGGGAAGUGGAAUUCCUGGUGUAGAGGUGAAAUUCGUAGAUAUCAGGAGGAACACCGGUGGCGAAGGCGACUUCCUGGACCAAUACUGACGCUGAGGUGCGAAGGCGUGGGUAGCAAACAGGAUUAGAUACCCUGGUAGUCCACGCAGUAAACGUUGUUCACUAGGUGUAGCGGGUAUUGACCCCUGCUGUGCCGCAGUUAACGCAUUADGUGAMCCGCCUGGGGAGUACGGCCGCAAGGUUAADNCUCMAAGGAUUUGACGG